Molecule: RNA transcript, 3195 nt
Organism: Musa acuminata AAA Group (dessert banana)
Lineage: Eukaryota; Viridiplantae; Streptophyta; Magnoliopsida; Zingiberales; Musaceae
Gene name: putative E3 ubiquitin-protein ligase RF298
Exons: 5
Source: RefSeq, a predicted model, not a curated record
UCGAUAUCUCUCACUCUUUCUCCAAGCGGAGGCAGAAGAAAUAAAGAGCUUCUCAUCGUCGGCCUUCGGCGCCCCCAAAUCCUUCACAGGAACCCUGGUCAACGCCGCGAUCGAUCCUUUUUGCCGUAAUCUCCAAUCCGGAAAAUAAAAAUAUAAUCUUUAUUCCUCAAAUUGUUAUAGACAGAGAUUAAUCGAGGAGGAAUUCGUAGUUGGAAUGGCGACAGUGGUUGCUGGUGAUAGUAGUUCUCUGAAUCCAUCUUUUGCUAUCCAAGAAGCAGGAAGCAGGAACAAGAGAAAAUUCCAUGCUGAUCUGCCGCUGGUGGACUCAAAUGCGCUAGCCGAUGCAUUGCAAACAGAGUUGCCGAAUUUUGAUUUGUUCCCCGCAGAGCAAACCUCCGAGAUUCCCAGCCUCGAACACCAUGAGGGCGAGUGUGAUAUGUGUAGGACUCAUAUGUUUGGGUUCAAAGAGGGACCAGAGUUGGAUGAAUUCCAAGAUGUUGAUUGGAGUUGCCUCACAGAAUCCCAGCUUGAGGAAAUCUUGCUUGAUAACUUGGAUGUGGUCUUUAUGACCGCAAUUAAGAUGAUAACUUCUCAUGGGUACACUAAGGAAGUUGCAACGAGUGCUGUAUUGAGCUCAGGGCUCUGUUAUGGUUAUAAGGAUACCGUAUCUAAUGUUGUGGACAAUGCAUUGGCAUUGCUGAGGAGAGGACAACAGGUGGAUUCCUCUUCCAAAGAGAACAUUUCCAAGAAUUUGAAGGAGUUGGAGAAGAGGGUGUUGGCGGAGAUGAUUAGUGUGCUUAGAGGGGUUCGACCAUUUAUUAGUACAGGUGAGGCCUUAUGGUGCUUACUGAUGUCCGAUGCUAAUGUUACCCAUGCUUGUGCAAUGGACAGCAGUUCAUCAAACGCUGUCAUUAGUGAUGAGUACUUGGGCACUUCUGUUGCCGCAAAGUUAGAAUCAAGGUCGGAGUCCAAUGACACUAUUCCAGUAAGUUCUAAAAGUAAUGUUCGAGGAGUCAUACCUUGUUCUGAUAGUGCCCAGCAAUCUGAACCUGGAAAGAUGAUGGUGAUCCCAAGUCUACCUCAUGGAAAGUUCUCAGCCUCUAAUGAGAAUGACCUGGUUUCAAAACCUAAAGCUAUGAAAGAAAGUUUGAUUUCUUCAUCGAACCAUGUUGGAGAAUCUUCUUCUUCAAUAGUUUCUCGGUCUCCUCAAGAAGAGAAAUCAGUUAGUGGUAAAAAGGUCCAUGUAGGUUGUUCCAAAAAAGGAACUGUCCAACACAGGUCAGUACAUGUUGAGAAGAGCUAUCGACCACUGGGAACUAAAGCGGUUUCGAGAGCAUGUAGACAAAGUGGCUCGGGUAGCUUAAUCAUGGAUAGGAAAUGCAAACAAAUCUCAGAUGCUACAAGCAUAAGUUUGAAGAGCUCCUCAUUGAAGCCAGGGGAGGCUACAGGAACUGAGAAAUCAUUUGCAGAUGCUAACCUUAACCUUUCUUUUAGUCAUGGAUACUCAUCUAGCCCCACAGGCGGCAGAAAAGAAGUUACCAGCAGAUCAAUGACACCAACUACAGACACUGAACUCUCUCUAUCGCUGUCUUCAGGAAGCAGCAUUGCUCUUAGUCCUACACAAGAGUCUAAUGUUGAUGCUGCAAAUUGCAGCAGUAAUGGUAUGAUCCAUUCUGGCACAACGUUCAGAGAUUGGAUCCCAGAGGACAAGAAGGAUGAAAUGCUGCUCAUAUUAGUUCCCCUGAUGCGUGAACUCCAGGUGCAGCUGCAAGAUUGGUCUGACUGGGCCCAGGAAAAGGUGAUGCAGGCUGCCCGAAGGCUGAACAAGGAGAAGGUUGAGCUCCAAAUUCUGAGACAAGAAAAAGAAGAAGCAGCCUGUCUCCAGAAAGAGAUGCAAACUCUAGAAGAGAAUACCAGGAAGAAGCUUGCUGAGAUGGAACUUGCAAUAUCAAAGGCAAGUGCGCAGGUUGAAAGGGCUAAUGCUGCUGCCCGCAGGCUUGAAUUUGAGAAUACACAGCUAAGGCUUGGAAUGGAAGCUGCAAAACUACAUGCAGCACAAUCAGAGGCAAAUUGUCAAGAAGCUUCAAGAAGGGAGAUGAAGACUCUUAAAAUGUUCCAGUCAUGGGAAAAACAGCAAAUAAUGUUUCAAGAGGAGCUUGCAAAUGAAAAGCAUCAGCUUUCUCAGCUGCAGCAGCAACUUGAACAAGUCAAGGAACUUCAAGAUCAAUCCGAGGCUAGGUGGAGGCAAGAAGAAAAGAUGAAGAAUGAGGCACUUGCAGAGAUCAGUGCUGAAAGAAACGAGCGGGAGCAGAUUGAGACUUCAGCAAAAUCACAGGAAAAUGCAUUAAGAUUGAAAGCAGAAAAUGAUUUGCAAAGAUGCAAAAGCGAUAUUCGCAGGCUUGAGCAGCAGAUUGCGCAACUAAGGCAAGUCACCAACUUGUCUAUUCUUGCUGCUCCGAGGUGGGGAACAGAAAGAACCUAUGCGUGCCGCCUUUUGGGUGGAAGCAAGAACAUCAAUGCCAAUAUUUUGGUCGACAUAGUGGACUCCCAGGAUUCGGCAUCUGAAGAACUACAACGUGAAAGGGAAUGCGUCAUGUGCUUAUCCGAGGAGAUGUCUGUUGUUUUCCUUCCCUGUGCCCACCAAGUUGUUUGCACCAAAUGCAAUGAGCUCCAUGAAAAGCAGGCCAUGAAAGACUGCCCUUCUUGUAGGACUCCCAUUCAGCGAAGGGUUUCGGUUCGCUUGGCAGACCGUUAGCAUGAAUAUGAUCUCUGUGAAAGUUUCAGAACACCAUGAUUCAUGAUUUGGAAAUAAAUAAGGUGGUGCCUGAGCGAGGGAGGAGAAACCAUAGAAAAGGACACCAAGAAACGUGUGAUGUCCAUGACUCACUCGCCGUCCGCUCUCCCGGAACACCAAGAAAGGACACCAAGCAACACGACGCACGGCGAGUCCGCCGAGGCCGACACCGACCGACGCCCAAACCCUCACCUACCAUUCUCUCACGUCCGAUUGGUGCGAGUUGCAUCGGAAGCACUGCCAAUAUAUCUGUUUAAUUUCAUGGUAUUGUCGUGCCACUCCCACCAUAAAUCCUCCCAUCCACUAUAAGACUCUUUGGGGACGUUCCCAUUUCACAGGUGCGUUCUGCACGUCAAUGGAUUGUUCUGUAAGAUUCCUUUGCUACUAAGACAUCAAAUCAA